AGAGUUUGAUCAUGGCUCAGGAUGAACGCUAGCGGCAGGCUUAAUACAUGCAAGUCGUGGGGCAGCAGGGUUGUAGCAAUACAAUCGCUGGCGACCGGCAAACGGGUGCGUAACACGUACGCAACCUUCCCGUUACUGUGGAAUAGCCCAGGGAAACUUGGAUUAAUACCACAUAUUAUAUUGAUGAGGCAUCUCGUUGAUAUCAAAGCUUCGGCGGUAACGGAUGGGCGUGCGGUUGAUUAGGUAGUUGGCGGGGUAACGGCCCACCAAGCCUACGAUCAAUAGCUGAUGUGAGAGCAUGAUCAGCCACACGGGCACUGAGACACGGGCCCGACUCCUACGGGAGGCAGCAGUAAGGAAUAUUGGUCAAUGGACGCAAGUCUGAACCAGCCAUGCCGCGUGGAGGAUGAAGGUCCUCUGGAUUGUAAACUUCUUUUAUCUGGGACGAAAAAAGGGAAUUCUUUCUCACUUGACGGUACCAGAUGAAUAAGCACCGGCUAACUCCGUGCCAGCAGCCGCGGUAAUACGGAGGGUGCAAGCGUUAUCCGGAUUCACUGGGUUUAAAGGGUGCGUAGGUGGGCUUGUAAGUCAGUGGUGAAAUCUCCGGGCUUAACUCGGAAACUGCCAUUGAUACUAUAAGUCUUGAAUACCAUGGAGGUGAGCGGAAUAUGUCAUGUAGCGGUGAAAUGCUUAGAUAUGACAUAGAACACCAAUUGCGAAGGCAGCUCGCUACGCGGUUAUUGACACUGAGGCACGAAAGCGUGGGGAUCAAACAGGAUUAGAUACCCUAGUAGUCC
Molecule: ribosomal RNA, 797 nt
Filed under: uncultured bacterium
Lineage: Bacteria
Description: bacterial SSU rRNA
Rfam family: Bacterial small subunit ribosomal RNA
Source: RNAcentral